UACGGGGGGGGCAAGCGUUGUUCGGAAUUACUGGACGUAAAGGGCUCGUAGGCGGCCAACUAAGUCAGGCGUGAAAUCCCUCGGCUUAACCGGGGAACUGCGUCUGAUACUGGAUGGCUUGAGUUUGGGAGAGGGAUGCGGAAUUCCAGGUGUAGCGGUGAAAUGCGUAGAUAUCUGGAGGAACACCGGUGGCGAAGGCGGCAUCCUGGACCAACACUGACGCUGAGGAGCGAAAGCCAGGGGAGCAAACGGG
Molecule: ribosomal RNA, 253 nt
Filed under: uncultured bacterium
Lineage: Bacteria
Description: partial 16S ribosomal RNA
Rfam family: Bacterial small subunit ribosomal RNA
Source: RNAcentral